RNAcentral lists this non-coding RNA (30 nucleotides) under Homo sapiens (human). Lineage: Eukaryota; Metazoa; Chordata; Mammalia; Primates; Hominidae. The record is from RNAcentral.
CAUGCGUGUCCGUGUGUGUGUGUGCAUGAA